GCAAACAAUAUUACUUUUCAAAUCUUUCUAAUAUUUUUAAAAUAGUUAAAUUUUGUUCCUCAAUAAUUGUCAAUUUAUUUUUUAUGCACGCUAUUUGAGCAUUCAUCAUCUUUUGCAGUUCCUUGUAUACUUUAAACUUCUCUUCAAAUUGUUUAUGCUCCCUUGCCUUCAAUUCUUGACUUUUCUCUCUCACCUCUAUCUCCUUCACCUCUAUCUCCCUCACCCUCAACUCAAGUUCUCUCUUUCUCAACUCAGUUUCUUGGUCCAACUUUCUUUCCUUUAUUUCAAUUUUCUUUCUUUCCAAAUUAACUUCACUCUCUCUAAGUUUCAUGUUUGAUUCGCGUUUCUCUCUCAGGUACCCAACAUACUCACUUGUCUCACCACCCUUUUUCCUCUUAGAACAUUCUCUUGCCUUAGUUUCUGAGAGACUCUCCAUAGCCCAUUUCCUUCUCUGCCCCUGUUGCCUGUCUCUUACCAUCAUCACACUUUGCUUGCUGCUGCUCUGCACUGUCUUUUCUUUUCAAAAUAUCCUCAAUUGCUUCAUCUAGCUCACUAGGUUCUGGUGCUACCCCACUAGCCCUCAUUUCUUCGUUCAUUUUCCUUCUAAACCCCCUUUCUAAUUUUACGAAUCUGUCCCUAACAGCUCUCUGAUCAACACUGAACUUUGGCCUUUCUACUCCAUUUAAUGCAUCUGCAAUUUUGUUCCAGCAUUUCCCCCUUUUCUUGACCCAUGCUUAUAUUGAUAAGGCUCCUCUGCCAAAAUUUCACGGCAAAGCAGCACAUCAUGAUCUUUAGUCCAUGUCAUUUUAGGCCUAUUCAAAAUAAGUUUAUAUCAACACAUAUACAGGAAAGUUUUGGCUGAGACCUUAAAGCCAAUCCAUUUCAGGAGAGACCAGGAAAAAAUUUCAACUAUUUCAGCAAGGUAAACUAACCACUUGUUCUACUCAAAACAACAUAAAACAGAUUACAAUUCAAAUAAAGUUUAUUCAAAAUGUAAAUUUAAAAAUGCAUCAAGCACAAAAGCAAGUAAUUCCAGCAAGUUAACUUUUUACUUUAAGAGUACUUCAAGAAUAAAAAGUUGGUGACCAUUCAGAUACUGAUCAUACACAGGCUUUCUCCUGGUAUGUACUGAUAACUUCAACAAAACAUCAGGAAAUCUGGCAGGCUUUUGACCAUUAUUUCGCUGUCUCUUAACGGUAAAUGCCACUUGAUUUCGGUUUCAGGAUAAGUAAGUUUCAAUGAAUUUGUUUAAUAAUGGAAUCAAUACAAACAUGAGUUUUCUUUCGUGUGAAUCAUCACAAUUGGCGGCCAUUUUUAACAAUUUAAAUGUAUUCUGGAAUAAAGAUGUAAAAACAACAUUACUAUAUGUCUAUUGUGGCACUGAAAAUUUAGAUAUGUACCAACAAUUCAACUUGAAAAACAUAUAAUGCUCAGUGCCAUUAGGACAGGCAGAGCUGAACACUCCGUGGUGUGUAGAAAAGAUAGUUUCUGAGCAAAAACACAACCAAUACACUCCAAUUUUCACACUUAAUGCGAUCAUCAGGUAACUGUCAAUGAAUUAUCUAAGUUUAUAACGAUGUAUUACAAAAGUGUUGAAGAAAACUCACCUUUUAUUUCUGCGUCGAGCUCGCAACGUAAAAAUCGAAAAUUUGAGUCUUCCUCAGGAACAAGACGGCUCAAGCAAAGUGGGAUCCCCCUUGACCGCGCUAGUUUCUAGAUCCCUGUGAGCCGUCUUCGCUUCCCGCGUCGUGAAUCGGAAGCUCUCUACUCUCUUACUUGCGCCAGUCACCAGAAGUUACACCAGAUCUUGUAUCCCUAAUUAGCAUAAGAUGUUGGGCAAUAGCUAUAGUUAUCUUCAUCAUUGCAGGGGCAUUCUCUCAUUAAGUAGUUAUGUAAGGCAACAACAGUCUUUGUUACUAAAAUCAUUUUUUGUGUCUAUGUUUUUAUUGGUCUUCUAGACACCCUGAACAAAGUGGUAGCUGUCCCAAAGGUGUUUUCAAUAACUCUCCUUGCCCUUGAAAGCCACAGCCUAUAAUUAAAGAUUCUUUGGUCUAUGGGCAAAUUUUGGUUAGGAUAUGCUUCAUUAUAUGAGUUUUUUAACCAAAUGUGUCAUCUGCAAAAAAUACAUAAGAAAGUACUUAUGCUCAACUCUGGCCAACGUUUCAGGCUGAGGGAUAUUGAGUUUUUCAUUUUCAAUGGCAUCGCCAAGAUGACUCAUCCUAUAGCUAGCUGCAAUCGUGCACUGGGCAUCUCCUGUUAUAUCUCAUUGUAACUGCCAAUCUUUUGCUAGGGCCAAAGAAUCACACAUAACAUUAUGUCUCUUUGAGAUUUUUGGACCAACUAAGGAUAACAGUUCUUCAAAUGUUGAGGGUGACAUUCGAAAACAUUAAAAAAAGUACUAGUGACCAUGUAGUCUAAUGUCUCUUGCCAACAGAUGAAAACCAACAGUUGCUAACGGUUAGCAAAGGUGUCAAAAGAAAAUCUUUGCCAAAAGUCUGGAUCCUUGCUUAAGGCAAGCACUAUAUUGAGGCUUUGUGUCAACAGCAGUUGUUGCUGUUUUUGUCUCAAAGAAUGCAAGUGUAGCAAAUAAGAAGUCUGUGUUGUACUGAUUCCAUCACUGAAAUAGCCACAGGAGUCUGUUGUGCUAAUGCAUAUUUGUGAAGUUUCACAACAACAAAGGUCUCUUUAAACGAUGUCCUUGUUGAACUUCAACUGAAGUUAGGAAGAGAAUCAAGGGAUGUUGAACCUUCAUGGACAAUCAGUAACUAAUUGACAUAUCAGACAAAACGAUUAUAGAUUUGCUCAAGAAGGUAGAGUACAUAGAAAAUAAAGAACUCCUAUACAGAAUUACUGCAUUUUUUCAUGAAUGAAUUGCAGAUGAAAUCAUUCUAAUCUUCGUGAAUAUCAGAGGACAUAACAAAAGUGUAAGUAGAGAGAGCAUGAUGUGAUAAGGUAAAAAAUGAACAUAUCCUAGUUGUUACAGUGAGAUAACUAAUUUCCCGGAAUCUUAAUAAAGUAAUUCAGAUCUGACUUUCAAGAGAUUGACUCUGCUCAUUAUGACUACAGUUCUCAAAUUAUGUUAACAAAGCAGUCUGUAAACACUCAAUUGCUUGUUUUAAAAAUAAACAAACAGUAAGUAGUUCUAAUAUCAUUUUAUUACUUGUCUUAUAUGAUCAUUUUUAGUUAAAAAGUUAAAAUCUGAGUUAAAACUUAGAGCAAAUUUUUAGAUCAAUUGAAAUAAUAGCAGACUGUAUCACAAACAAAUUUAUGCAUGUGGCAGAUCACAUAUGUACAUUUCAUUUCUUGUCAGCUUUCAAAAUUUAUUGUCAAUAUUUGCUUGCUUGAUGGCUUUAUAAUAAAAGCUGUUAAUAUGAAAUAUUUGUGUGUAUAUAUGCUAUCCUUUUCACAGUAAUUACACCAAGAUAAUGCGAAAAUAGUUUAAAAUAUUAUUCUAGUGCUGUCCUAAAGUAUACUACUUAUAUAUGUAUCUCCAAAAUGAAAUAAUGACUAUGAAAUUAUAGGACUCUUAUAAUUUUCUUGAAAAUAACAGCAAAAUAUGCAGAAGGGUUAAAUGGCUGAUAACUGCAUGAUCUUCACAAAAUUUUAGAGAUUGCCAAACAAAUUCAACUUUUUAAUUCCAGGCUUCCAUAGCAAAGAAAUUUAUAAAAUAUUACAAAAUCAAACUUUCAAGUUUCAAAUAAAGUUUACAACAUCAAUGAAAACGCUACAAUUUUAAUAAAUUAUUGCAUUUACUCAAGCUACUUACGUAACAUUUACUUAAAACUUAAAACUACGUAACAUUUAAGGAGAAUCCAUUGUACUCAUUGGCAAUCAAUGAUUAGUUUUUGUUAUAAGGUAACAUUUACUUCUUAUUAUGCUGAAAAAUUUGUAUUUUUCAUAGUUUUAAAGCCAUAUUUUUGCUUAUGUUUAAGGUUUAGCUUUUUUUUACAUUACGGUAAAAAUCUGGUAAGGAUUCAAACUUAUUACUUCACAGUUCCCUUAGAAAUGACCUUUCGUCCCUUUGCAUUGUAACCUUCUUCAGGCUGCCAACUCUUGGUAAAUUUUAUACUACUCUUGUAUGGAAAAACCUUUAACAAACCAAAAAGCUGCACUUAUUGAGCAGCCGACAAUUGAUGCAUUUUCAUGAUAUCCACUUGUGUUAUUUAAGUAGAAAGCAAUUUGUAAGUGCUUCUCUUGACACAGUUCUUGAUUUCAAACAACUUCUAUGUUUGCAUGUCAAGGCCUAUAUAAAUUCUUUGGUCGAUUUUUUAAAUUCUAUGGUCGGUUCCAAGUCUUUUAUUGGCUGAGCAACCAAAAUUCUCAAUAGCCUGUUAGCCAAUCAAAGUUUAAGAAUAUGACAACAAUUGUGCCUCACAGCUAGAUUUAUGCCUCACAAAUGACCAACUUAAUGGCUCAUUAUGCCUCACAAAAAUAUUUUUACCAUCAUAUUUUGAUUUCCAAUUCUUCAUUCGCCCAGUUGUUAAAGCGUUAUCAAAGGAUUCUUCUUCACCAGCAAUUUGUGCACAUCAGCAAAAGUCAAAAUUAAGCCUUUUACUUUUGAUUUACCUUUUACUUUUACUUUUCCCAUGAUGAUUCUAUUUCUCCAAUGGUAUCCAACAAUGUACACGUUACAAGAUGUAGACAAUUUUCCUAAAACUAUUGCCUUUUCCCUUUUCCAUUACAUUUUGUGUGGUAAUGUUAACUAACUCAUUGUUACUUACCUGAAUCGAUAUAAUAGCUCUUGCUUCACCUACCUUCUCCUUUUCUUCGUUUUUCUGUGCACCAUUUGCUUCUGCUGAUAAUUUAAUUUCCCCUGAUGCAAAUCCAAACAGAUUUUUUUGUGGUAAGAAGCAUUUCCAUUCUGAAUUUCCAAUUGUCAUAACUAGUCCCAACAUGUAGAUUGAUCCUAACACUAGUACCUUUGAAUUUAUCCAUCAUGGCAAAGUAAAUGCACAACAAAUCUAUAGUGAAAGUGUUUCCAGUGUCCUGGGCCCAUAACCUGUUAGAGUUACGCGGAAGAUUGAAUUCAGACAUGCAAAAAUGAAAAACAACAUAUUCAACAACGGAACAAAUUCUGCCAUAUUGCAUUUACAAAAGCACAUUGGUUAAAUUAAUGGGUUAAGUACUUCAUGUAAAGAGAGAUGUGAAACAUCAAUUAUAAUAAUACCCUCAAAAAUUCUAAUAAUUACAUCCCAAAUAAUAUUUCCUAAAAUAUUAAUGUUCCCCAGCAUUUUCCUCAAGUCCCCAAUGGUGCCACCAUCAACUGCAUUGUAUCAAAUCAAAACAAAUUCAACUUCAGUAAACAUUCAUAAAGAAACCUACAGCUUGCAUGCUUAUAAAGCUUCAAAAGCAAGUAGGGUCCAAAUUUGUAAGGUUACAAGAAUUUAAAAUUUAGUAUCAUCAUCAAUUAAAUAUUGUUGCUGCAUGGCUUGAUCUGGAGCAUCUGAAAAAAGGACUAUGCCUCAUUUUGUUUGAUAGGAAUCUGCAAACCCUAAAAAGCAAGUUGACACUGUCAUUGAGUUUCUAAUGAUUCCAAACAUAUAAAUGCUAAAAACAUUUUGAACAGGAAUACAAUUCACAGUGAAUUUUUUUCAAUCUAAACAACCCUUAAGCAAGCUAUGCUUUGUUAUUGUAAAUAGUUAUUAAUUUUUAGGCCUCCUGUAAAAGGAAACUAUCUCUAUAGUGCAGUGUCUGUUUCUCUUACUGGCAAGAUACCUUGGCUUCAACCCUCAGGGCUCUUACAUCUGUAAAGCUAAUCUGAAUGCAGUUUUGUGCUUUCCAUCUACAUUUUACUUCUGUUUCAUCCUCUGAGAAUUUAGAAGAUGAUCACUGUCUCCAACUAAAAAAAUUAACCAUGUUAUUGAAAAUUGAAAAUUCUCGUCUUUGUAUUGCUUUGUUCCUGUAUAUCUUUCAAGACUCAACAGCUCUUCAAAUUUUUUUGGCAGCAUUCGAUAAAACCGAAAGAACAGCUCGUGAUCCAAAAGUUUCAUUUCUAAUACCAGCUGGUGAUAUUCGCCUUUUUCCAAAUGUUCACAGUAUAUUUUGUGAACCCAUUGUUUAUGCUCUAUAUCUCUUGUGUUUCUCUUUAAGUUUUUCUCUUUGCCGUAAAGAAUUAAGAAAUGCAAAGCGAUGUUCGUCGGACAUAUUUGUUUUUGUUUAGAUUGUUCAGAUGGCGCCAAAAAUCUAUGGCGCGAAAUGCAUCAAUUUGAUGGUUUGCUGGCAAUCAGGCAAACAAAUGGAUAUUGAUGAGGCAGCGGUUUGCUGGUGAUCGUGCGACUCAUUUUGAAAAACAAGGGAUCGCACAAAGCUAACUCAUUUAAACUGUCAAAAGAAAUGAUUGCCCUGCAUAAUGGAUGCAAAUGCAACUGAUGCUUAAACAAGAGAACUUGGGAGAAAAUUUAUGAAGGAAUUGUAGACGUGAUCUUUAUGACUUGAUCCAAUAUUCCAGACUUAAACUUAUUAAAUAUAAUGUUUCCCUUUAUCACCAUAAAUUAAAACUAGUACUAAUAUGAUAUUGCCAUGGAAAAAUCUGCUUCCUUUCUUCCUUUUUGUCUUUCUUUUGUUGUACUUCUGUAUAAUAAUCUCUCAGCCUGUAAUUGACUGACGUGCAACUUAAUUUAUCUUUUAUUAUUUAUUUAUUUAAUUAUUAUUUAUUUACUAUUCAUCAAUGUUUAAAACUGAUAGAUGCAUAUUAACCUGAUGCCUGAACCUGGUGCUUGACUGACAUGCAACAUUAUUUAUUAUUCAUUUAUUUGAUGCAUAGAUACAUAUGGUAGAGGCAUACUAACCAAAAGUCAUUGCAUGACCAAUUUUUUGGAUAAAACUAACAAGGAUAAAGUAAAAGAAAAUAGAAUUCUGGUUUAAGAAAUUUUGAAAAAUUUCAGCCUCACUUGAAGGAAAUAUAAAUUUGAACAGUGAAAGCACUGCUUUCAAUGAUCACCUUGAUAAGUGCUUGAAACCAGCUUGAACUGCAUCGGAGAAGGUCAUGGUUGAUGCUUCAAAUUGAUUCGAAACAGUCAAGAAAUCCAAAAAACCUGACCUUGGAGUUGAUGAUGUUGAUGGUGCCAUCCCUGUUUCAGAAUAUGUAGAUGGAACCUGGCACAAAAUGGCUACUCUUCCAAACUUGGUGUAGUUUUUGUCAUUGGAGUUGAGACAGGUGAAAUCUUAGAUUAUGAAGUACUGCCUUUAUUCUGCCAAGAGUGUUAUAUUAAUAUAGAAAAUUGAAAAACCCAGACAGUUUUUCAGAUGCUACACAGAAACACAGAAUAGACACAGAAAAAACUGCACAUUAACUAAAGUGGCUUAUCAGAAGAAAUAGAGAGUGAAGGUGCUGUCAGAAUUUUUGAGAGAUGAAUAUAAACAAGAGGGAAAUUUACAAUUUGUGUAGCAUCCACUUUAUUUCCAUCAAAGAAAAGGGGCCAACAACAUUUCAAAAACCAUUGUCAGUAACAACCAGAUAGCUUCCUUUAUGGAAGAGGCUUUUCUACUAGGUGGUGCACUAUUUUCAAUGAAAAUGAUUAGUCGCUUGCUCUAAGCAUUUGGAACCCAUGGAAAUAUUCUGACGCCAUGUGCAUCUAAGUAUGUAUCAAAAAAGAAAAAAUUUUGUUUGUGUUGAUCUUCCACAUUUUACUGUCCUUAUGACUCCACAUUUUACUGUUCCCAAUAUUUUUCAAUGAGUUAUCAAACGUUAAAUGGGGCAUGAACUAUGUCAUUUGCAUGAACAGAACCGCUGAUUAUUUGGUUUAGUUAAAACUGGGGUUUGAAAGAACACUACAUUGUUUUUCAAAGCUGCUAUUAACAAGUGCAUCGCGAUUGUUAUUCCUGACAAUUUGAAUGUCUGAUACAGGGUCAUCCAUAGAAUUUAAAACUUGGCUUAGUCUCUUAUGUGCAUGAUAUCUUUGCUGAUUUAAUUGACACAGAAGUAUAUGCAGGAAAUGCUUAAACCAAAUCUUGAAUGAUUCAAGUAAGUAAAAGUUUUUUCAAAUACAUGAUCUUGGCUUGGAAAUUCAUUGACAUGGAAAACAGACCUUUUGAAUAUUUUCUGAAGGGCCCCAUGAACUGGUCCCAAAUCAGUCAAGAGUGUAUGCAGCAGAGAUGCCACAAUUACCUAUGCUAAAGGACUUACUUCCAAAUGUGAUAAUGUUGGCAUUAUCUGCAACUGUUGAUUAAGACUUGUAGUCAAGAUAGUGUAGUCUCUCUCAAUGCAGUCGUUCAAAAUGACCAGAGCCGGUCCAAACAGGCUAAACAUUCACCAGGUGAAAGAAAAAUGCCUAACUAGAAUGUAUAGUAGAAGGUUUAAAAAAAGAGAAAAGGAAUUUCAAUAAGACAAGCAUCUAUUCUCGAAGAAUUGAGAAUUUUUCUAAAGUUUUUUAUUCUAAAUGGAGGAACUUGGUAGAGAGGCUUUUGAUAUAUUGUCAAGAGAAAAAUCCACCAGUAACAUGCUUAUUGACAUGUCAUAAAAAAACUUUAAUUGAAAAUAAAGACAGGUGUUUGUACAACUGUCUGAUGUCGAUGGUUCUUGCAACAUCCUCACUUGUGAUGGGUGUUCACAACAGUCACGAGGUAUGUAAUUUUUUAAGGAGCUCAAUAGGGAUUGGAAGGACAGGACGUGAUCAAGCAGCUACUGCAAUUUUGGCUUGGUAUUACACUUUACAAAAGCUUAGAAGCACAAGAUGUAAAAGUUUCAGAAGUGAAACAUUGUCAUAUAUCAUGUGACUGUAAAAGUAAUGGUGUGUGCAAUGUUUUUUUACAAAUAUGGAGAGGAUUUGCCAAAAGUUUCAAAGCAAGGAGAAGUGCAAACUGUAUCUAAUCCAGAGAAUCAGGCUUUUAAGGAAGAAUUCUUAGAUUAUGAAUCGCAACAAAAUGGAGAGUAUGCCAUUGUUGCAUCAUUUUUUGAUAAGCAAUCUUUUGUUGGCAUAUCAGAGUAUGUAACUAAGGAGCUUCAAGACCACUUACCUUUCAUAACAAGCGUUGACUAUAUUCUAGCAACAGCCACACUCCCAUUUUCAAAUAGCAACAUACUGGAGAAACAUUUUUCAUAGUGCAUGAUAUCUUUGUUGAUUUAAUUGACACAGAAGUAUAUGCAGGAAAUGCUUCUAGGGACAAGAACAUAGAAAUACAGAGUUUCCCCUUGUUCAGAUGCCAAUACUUCAUCGGGAAGUUACAAAAGUGAUUUGUUUCUAAAUGUAAAAGCAUUAGAUGUUUUAAGAUGGUUGGUAAUGUUUGGUAGAUCAAAUAUAUACUAGAUUAAACUAGAGAUAUUAUAUGACCAUCAUGUAGUUUGAAUCGAAAAAUCUACUAGUACACAACUGAUGAAAGCUGUUAUUCACUAAGAUAUAAUUAGUUUAUCCAGUUAAUCUAUUUGUACCUAUUUGUAUCCAAGUUGUUUAAAAUUGAAAAGUUAAUGCUUUGUUGAAUAGAAUACGGAUUUUAACAGACAUCAUUUCUACAAACUUCAUAACCAGAUUGUCUAAUAUAUAAGAAACGUUAAAGAAACAUUCGCCAGGUGAUUUUGGCUGAUUCCUUGUUAUUCAGUAGCCUUGCUGCCAAAAUUAUUUACUCUCUAAUGCACACUUGAGAACUAUUGCAGGGUAGAAAUCGAGGCUCAACUGACAUUUCACAAAAAAGAACAGAAGAAGAUCCUGUUAAAAUCUUAGUGAUAUUAGAACUUACUCCUUUCUUAGCUUUUCUAUGAUGUAAAACCAUAGAUUUGCGAUGUGCCAAAGCACUCAGUGUUGGGCUUCUCACUCUCAUCAAAAUGCAUUUACCAUUACCAGACCAUGCAAACAAACUUUGUGUGCUUGUUUGAUUUCCUUUCUACAUGAUAAAAGCAAAGGGGCUCAUUUUUGCAUUUCAUCAAUGCUUCGUUUUUUAGAUUGGUCUUGGAAAGCAAGCUUUGAUUUUUCAAAGCAACAACAGUUCACAACCCAUCAACAACUGUCUCCUCGAUACAUUUCAGAGUAAUGGUUUAAGAUCCUUGUGCUUUAACAUCUUCUUUAUGAUAAAUUUUAUGUCGCCAGUGACAAGUGCAAUAGAGGACUUCUCAACCUGGACCACAAUGCAUUGCAAGAUGCGUGGCAGCCAUAUUGGUAGACCUGGUAGCUGUGACGUUCUUUCUGUAGUAAGUGCACGCUUGUUUACUGUUGUAUAGAGAGUUUGCAAAGAUAAUCAGUCAGACUUUUGUAAAAUAUGACAAAGAACUUCGAUUCAUUGCCUGCUUAUGCACGUGGGAGAUAUCUAGAGAAAACUGGGGUGGUUGGAACUCUAGACCCUUAUACAAUUGAUGGAGAGUGGUGGUGGUGAGAUCCUGAAGAUUACCCUCCGAUAACGUAUAUAGACAUGGUAAAUUAUUCUGUGCUUGUGGUUCAAGUCUAUUUUACUCAAUGGCCGAGUUUAAGAACUGCAAAAGCUUGGAAUCCUAUGAUUGUUUUGUGUCUGGAUGGGUUAGAAAUGUGGAAGUUUAUCAAUAUGAAUCAGUUUAAAAAAAAAUCAAUAUACACUUCCUUGUUCGUGCAAGGGUUAGCCACAAUCAACAAAUGAGUUAGGCACCAGUUUGUUCCUGGUUUAUUUGCAGAGAAAAAGGAGUAGUGGUGGCUUCCCACUGUACAUGUAUUGCAGGUUUGGGUAAAACAUGUUCACAUGUUGCAUCAGCCAUGUUUUAUGUUGAGGCUGCAGUUAGACUAUGUGAAAAGAAAACUGUGACCUAAAAAGCUGCUUACUGGAUGCUACCAUCUACAAGGUCAACAGUUGAAUAUUCACCUAUAAAGGACAUUGAUUUUAGGUCCUGUUAUCAGCUCAAAAAUCAACUGGAUACAAUUAUUGCUGAAGAGGAUACUGUUGCUACAGAAUCUAGAGGUAUUGAUGUUGAAGCAGGAUCAAGUGUCAUGGCAAUGGAAAGUAAGAUAUACAAAGCAGACAGAGCAAGUUUUGAAACAUUUCUUGCCAACAUUUCAAAUUGCAACCACGCAUUUCUAUCUGUUCAUCCACGCUUCUCUGGUAAAUUUGUUUCCCAAGCUUUACAACAAAGCUACCCUAUAGUUCUCACAGAGCUCUUUGGUCCAACAAUAGUAGGAAUUUCGUUCAAAGAGCUAGCAGAAAAAUGUCGGUAGUUAUCCACCACAGUAACAGUGUCCAGAAAACAAUUGGAACUGGUUGAAAAAAACUUGUGGUCAAUCCAUAUCUUCUCUGUGGUUUGCAUUUCGCAGUGGGAGAAUAAAUGUAUCGAAAUUAAAGGCUGUGUCACUAUACAAAUUGCUAAACAAUCAUUAAGUCUCAUUAAAGAGAAAAGGGAUUGAAUUCACCAGGUGAAACAAACUGCCUCGGGGUUGUUGAUGGGAAAUUAUCAAAUGGCCCUGACAGAAACAAAUUAUGUGACUUUUUUGUCUGGACUCCUGUGCAGUAUCAUCUUGAGAAAGUGCCCAGUAAAUCAACCAUACACUGCAUUUUGUUUUCUGGACUUUGAUGUCAAUAAACAUGCUUUGAAUGUAUAUUUAUGUUUUUUUUCUUAUUUCCUCUCAUUGCAUUCAAUUUAUUUUUUGGUGAAACAGAUUUUAUCUUCAGAUUUAAUCUACAGUUUUACUGUGAUUUAAUCUUUCAGAGUUAAUCUACAGUUUGCAUUGUUUGUUUUCAGGCUGUUUGUCUGUUAUCUGUUUAGAUUCUUACAGAUUACAGGAGUUCUGAAACAUAUCAGCUAAUGUGUAAUAUUUAUAGUCCCUUUUAGUUGCAUAAUUUUUAUAAAAUGAAAGAAAAUAGGAAAGUAUGCUUUGGUUUGUAUAACAUUAGGAAAAGCAUUAUAUAAAUAGUUCUACAUCUCUUUGAACUGAGUGCAGCAGUCUGAUAAAAUUUUUCUCUGAAGGAAAGGAAAUUUGUAAUUGUUACAAGAAAGCCAGUAUUAUUCAAUGGGGAAACGUGGAAUAGGUGUAUCAUUGCAACUCUAGAAGCAUUCCCUUGAUUUGAGAAAUAUGACCUCAGAGAUUCAUUUGGCAUAUGAUGGCAAGUACAAAGUAAUUAGAUGUCAUUCAGGAGUUUAGAAGUAUUAAAUUUUCUAGAACUCAUAAGUUAAAUUUCCUGGUUACCUUAUACUAUGUAUCUUUAAAUAACCUGCCAGUCCAUAUUAUUUCCUUAUAUCACCUUUUCUUUUCAUCUUAAAAUUACCUGAUAAAAUAGCAGUUAGCAAUUAUCAAUUUCAUACCUUAGUAUCUUUGUGAAAAUGUUGUUUCUAGAUUUUUUAAAGCUUCAAGACCCUUUCACUGCAUGGCUUCUAUUGAGCUCUUGAUAGACUUUGACAAUGCCAGCAAUAUUGAUCCAUCAUGCAGUGAAGACAUAGAAAGUAAAUCCAAUAUUGCAUCUUUAGAUAAACAGAGAUCCCAUGUAUCUGCAGUCUUAUGAUUUAUCAACAUUCUCCAAAAAUCCAAUAAAUUUUACAUCUUUCUUCACACACAAAUCUUGAUUUCAGUAGAGAGGGCUAGUAAACUAAAAAUUAUUUAUCCAUUUGCAUCUUUUAAAGAUCAAAACUAAGGAAUCAUGACUGCAACAUAUUUAUUAGUCAUUUUGUGCUGAUUUAUUUUAUCAAGUGUGUGAGAAGGAAGAACCACAGGAUAGGCUGUAGGCCGGAUUCUGUGAAUCUUGCAAUGAGUGUUGUUCUGAAAGAUAUACUUAUUUUAUCAAACAGUUUCAGAAGAUCAUUGCCCGAUCUAUGACAUCCCACGAAGUGUAAAGUAUGUUGUAGUAUGGGAUUCAUCCAGUGAUGGCUAUGGCAUUCUUACAACUUCAAGGUCAGGAACAAUUUGUCGCAGCUGUUCCACACCUUUAGGCUGCAUACAUUUGGAAUUGAGACUUUCCCAAAAGAGCUUGGGUUACAUUUAGAUACCUAACUUCGUAUUAUCACAAAUUUCCCCCUUUUUUAAAACAAUAUUUGCUUAUUUUUGCCCCAAGAAUUUGGUUUUCAUCUUGGCAGCCAAUGUUAAAACAGAUAAAGCAGAUAAAAUUCUUCAUAAAUACAUGGUCUUUUUCUCAUUAGUUUAUAUUAUAGUUAGAUGCAAUGAAUUAUUAUUAACCCUCUUUUGUUGAUUUUAAGAAGCUAAAUUAUUUUGCUAGAAUAAUAUUUUAAAAGGAGAAUUAUACCAGUUAAAAAGGUUAUCUUAGUACUGGUUGUAGUAAUUUUGUAGUGUAUCUUGUAAUUCUCUAAGUGUAUCUGAUAAUUACUGCAAACAAGCAUUAAUAAUUUUAUUCCAAUCAUUCCAACAUGUGAUUUUUAUUAUUAAAUGCUAAUUAUAUUAUCUGAGUAAGUGGAUUUCAAUUCCAGUGUGGUGUUGAUGAUUAUAAGCUAUUAUAUAAAAUUCUUUACACAUGCCUAAUUUUUCAUUUCAAAUGAAAGGAAAAAUUUGUGCAAUAGCUUUAACUGAAAACCUGCUUGUAUGAAAAUAGGAGGUCUAAAUUAAAAAAUAGUUCUAAAUAAAAAAAUUAUUAUAUUAUUGAUCUUGUUGUAAUUUGUAGGGAACCUCCUGCAACAAAUAUCUUGAAAUGAUACUUAGACUGCAUAUGUACUUAAGCCUUAAUACAAUGUUGCUACAAAAUAUCUUCAACAUUAUAUGUAACCAAUUUUCAAAUCCACAAAUAUUGUGGACAGUUUUGAUUUACAAUACGUUUUUUUCAGUAUUUUCUCAAAUGUGCCCAAACUGUAAUGGAGUUGUGCACUAUGAUGGCUCUUCUGACAGUAAGCUGAAUAUGGGGAGUUUUGUUGUCAGCCACAACCUUUAAAGAAAUCUUACGCACCAUUUUGUGCAUGGAAGGUGGGUGCUGUAUGAAUGUUUCUUUAAAGUUUUUAUGUUAUACUGUCCCCAGGGGGAAUACCUUCCAGGGGAGGGGGGGGGGGUGUGACGGGAUGGUACAUUCACAUACAAUAAGUUCCUUCACAUGCAAUAAGUUCAAAGAUGCAUGGUAUUCCUUCCUUGCUUUAAUUGAUGUUGAUUUCCAUAAGGGGUUCAGUUGCACCAUAUGUAAAGAUCGACCAAAAUGAGUAAUUAUAGAUGCAACUUGCCUGUCAUUUCGGAAGGACUUGGAAUGGUUUCUUUGUUAGAAACAAAUCCUUUGAGCCCAACUCUAUCCCUAGAGUCAGGUUAGAUUUUUAUAAUAACAUAGCCAUAUUCUUCUUUCAAUUUAUUUGCUCAAAUGAAUAAAAAAUUAUCGUAACGGAUUGUGUAAACUGUUUGUUGUUUUGUCCUCUUGAUUUAUGGUGGACCUUUUUUGUCUCAAAUGAUGUGAAGUGUAAAAGUUUUAGAAUUCUAAAAAAUUAUGCCUUUGCCAUUUAAUUUUUUUAAAGGCAUUGAGUCAUGGUUAAUAGAACGUGUAUACCCAAAUUGCAAAAAUUGCUGAGUCAUUAUGAUAGCUUCGCCAAUCUGAUUGGCUGUCAAGCAAAUUGCACACAACUGUACACAUGAUGUUGUAACCUCGCAUUUGGGAAGCUUUCAGUGGGGGAAGAAGCCAAAAUUGCGAUGCGUCAUAGUAGUGGAAAACGAGUUGUGCUCAGUUUAGGAGUGGAAAACGAGGAAACGAAAAAAGUGCUGCAGUCGUUUUCGAUUUAAAAGAUACCUUAAAGUAUCAGUACAAAGCCAAUUUUUUAAAAUGGCUGAUCGACUUGGGAAAGGCCAAUUCAUCGACGGCCAUACCAACAAAGUUGAGGAAACCAGGGGACCGCAGUGCAACAAAUAUUGUACCAGUGUUAACAAUUUUGUUGUUGAAAAAAGAUGGUUAUUGUGAAGGGUUUGGAAAGCUGGUAGACACAGAAGGUGACCAUUUACACGACCUUGCUACCACUUCCAUAGGUGCUAGGCCUACUGAAGAAAGGCAAGGCCUAAUCAAAAUUAUGAAAUCAUAACUAAUGUCUAAUGUGUUUUCUUGUCGUUGGAAUGACUUAAAAUGAUUGGAAAAUAACCUAGAUAAUCAGAUGGAAUUAAAUCUAGAUAAAUCAAUUGGAAAAUAAUCUGUAUUCUCAUGAAAUCAACUUCUUCGACUUCUUAAAUCGAUAUUUUUGUUGUUCAUUAUUGCUAAGCAACUAAGAGCCCCGACGCUAUUGUUUUCAGGGCUGAAAUGUUCACAGUAACGAAAGCGGUGACCAACAAAUCAAUGGUACAGAUAUGGCCUGAAAUCGAUGUGUCCUCCAACUUUUUUGAAGAAGUCAUUAACAUUGACCAAGCUAUGCCUGAAAAUGUAUGCAGCACGCCCAAGAAGGAUUAAAUUUCAACUGAAGCCAUCAGGUAUUUCUCUAGCCUGCAAGGACUAAGUAUGCCCCGCCAUAUGGGACAAAAGUCUAUUAUACAAAAUAUAUGAUGUCAUUGUAAAUAUAUUGUUUAAAUCUAUUAUAAAUCUGUUGUACAAUUCAUAUCGACGUUAUUUCCUCUAGCUUAAUGCGUGUCCACUUGACAUUUAUAAAUUGUUAUCGGAAAUUUCAGAUAUAUAAGGUCUGAAUUUGUUUGCAAAUAUAUAAGGUCUGAAAUUUUUUGCAAAUAUAAGGUCUGAAUAUGUAAGGUCUAAGCGCGAACAAUGUGCGCAGUGACAUUUCCCGCAAAUUAUGACCACCAGAGGCAAAAGACUGGCCUAAGCAAUACCAACGAAUAUUAAAUAUGUUGUUCAAAGUUGACUUUCAACAGUUUCUGGUUGAUCUUCCUGGACAACUAUCUUAGGCUCGACGACAAGCUUUCAGUAGUAAUUUGAAUAUGCUCGAAUUUCGGAAUAGACAUUUGCAAGACUUUUUACAUGUUUUAAGCCUUUUCAUUAGGAGGUGUGAAUGUGCGACAGAAACACCUGAAAGUUUGUGUGUGUAUCUAAGAGAUCUUUCUGUAGAAAUUUGUAAUCUACACAAUUUAGUUGAGAGUAACAUCUUUACUGAUGAAAGCUACAUACCAGAAAUGACUGCACACUCUAUUAGGUGCCCUGAAGAGCACAAUGAAGGUGCCUGUGGCAGACCUAGAAAAUUAUCAGAGAAGGAACAAAUUGCAAACCUGUUUGAGAUACACAAUUCAUGGCAUCAGUAGCUCAACUAUUAGGAACUUGUGACUUCCUUCACACGGAAUUAACUUCUACGGUUGCCAUUCUGGGAGCUUGCGCGACGACUUCCCCGAGAAGCUGGGCGAGUGUAUGGGGUUGCGGGCACAGAACUAGGCCAUCUGAUGCUAGUACUAUAAGCAUUGCGCCCAAUAUUUCUCCCACGGGGAAAUCUUUGGCGGCUGUCUAAGAAGGAUAAAAUUUCAACUGAAGCCAUCAGGUAUUUCUCUACCCUGCAAGGACUCAGGCCUAAAUGUUUACAAAAAUUAUUUUUGGUAGCAACCGUAUCUCAGUUGAACUCAAGUAAUAAAGCAAUUAUGCAACUUGAACUCAAGUAAUAAAGUUUCAUUUUCAAACCUUUCCCCACCUACAAAUUUGGUGUUGUAACCUAUAGUAGAGAAUGGUGGCAUCUCAAUUAAAUAAGCAAAGUUAUGGGGUAGCAGUAUAAUGGGAGAGCAAAUAAUUAUUCAAACAUUCUAUUAUAUUUCUUUUGCGUUGUAGCUGCAUUGAAAUGCCUGAUUUUUUGGAAGCCAACUGUGAGACAUGGGUAGAUCUUUUUGGAAGCCAUCUUUUUCAUCAAUGUCCACUGUGAGUUACUUUCUAUGCUAUUUUGUGAUCAGGUCUUAGUUCACAUGUCCUUUUUAUCUCCUUUGUGUUCUUUUUAUGGUUCUCUUUGGGGUAAUCACCUUGUGAGAUUUUUGUAAAAUUAUCGUGGAUUUUGUUUCUGAAAGUUUCUUGUUUGUUAAACAAUGUUCUUGUUCUUCAAUGUAAUUUUUGUUUUUCUAAAUUUUUUUAUUCCAAGUUACAGAUGGCUUCUACUGUAUGGUCAUUUGAAAUCUACUUUAGAAUUUGUACAUACUGUCUAUGUGUCGCUCUCAAAAGAAAUGAGAGAUAUAGAUUACAAUUUGUAGUAAAAAAAACCUUUUUAUUUAUUCACUCAAUCACUACUUAAAAAUACGUACUUUAUCCAACAUUCAGAAAUGAGGAAAGCCACAUUGACAGUAUCCUGGAUGAUGUUGAAGAGUCUCUGCUUCAAGAGCAAUUUGAAAUGAUGGAUACAUGUCCUGAAUAUGCAGCUGUUGAGAAUGAAGUCGAGACUCCUCUGUCAUGUUUUUGUGUCAUGUUUGAUGUCUUUUGAUAGUACAAUAUGACCUCUUUCUUUAACAGAGAAAGAUUUUCAACAUUCUUAAAUUAUUUUUGCUUAUUUAUGAAACAAUUUAAUGACAAUUAUUGAAAGUACGUCCAGCACCAGCAGCUAUUUUUUUUUAUUUUUUGCUAUGUAUGAAGGCACAGAAAAUAUUUUGAGACAUGGCAUAAUGUUAAAUAUGUAUGCUAAUUGCAUCCAUGCAGCUGGAUUAGAUGUUCUUUUUCCAAUUUUUACAAAAUUGUGGUGUUGGACAUACAUUUAUUUGUACGUUCAACACCAUACGUCCAACACUUUAUGCCCCUUCAUACCAAUGGAGCCAUCUUGGAUUUGUCUCUCAAUCAACAGUAUCAGCACAUGGUCUAAUACUGAGAUUGAGUCUAAAAAGUGCCAAUUAAAACCAAACCAUCAAGGAAAUACAUAUUUGUUUGUUCUCAUUGCUGAGUUGUUGAUUAUGCCUCUAACAAACAAAGAAAAGUUGCCCUGGCGAUGAGCGAAGGUUAAAGCUGGUGAAGAACUUUGGAAGGCAAAAAAGGAAAAAGAUAGGAUAAGAAAAGCAAAAUCAAGAGAAGCAGCAAAAGAUAAAAUGUCCAAAGAAGAGUGGAGAAACUACAGAGCUAAAAUUCGCUUGUUAAACAAUACAGAGACCAAAAGAAGUGCCAAAUUCAACCAAAUGAGCAGGAAGUAGAUCUAAAUGAAACUGAGUCACCGUAUCGCUCUGUUCAGGCGAUGGGGAAGGCAAUGACUAAAGUGAGAACUUCUCUUCCAAAAUCACCAAAGAAAAGGAAGGCAGUUGCAGCAGCCCUAGCAAAAGAAAUUGGCAUCAAUGUUGUUAAAGCAAAAAAAAGAGCAGCACAGAUUGGUUUAAAUGAAGAUACCAAAAGCAAGAUUAUUGACUUCUACCUAAGGGAUGACAUAAGUUGGCAAGCACCAGGGAAAAAAGAUCAUGUAAUUAUCAGGAGUAAAGAUGCAAGUGGGAAAAAACUGAAGAUACACAUGCAAUGCAAAUACAUGCUUAUGUCCCUUGCAGAGGCCCACCAGCUGUAUUUGAGGAGAAUUCCCAGUCUGCCGUUGGUAGAAGCAAGUUAUGUUAGCUCAGGCCAAAACACAUUAAGCUUUUUGAUAAAAUUCCCCAUAAUGUCUGUGUUUGCAUGUACCAUAAAAAUGUAAGGUUGCUUUUGAAUGCUCUUGGGAACUGCACAGAGUUACCUAGCAGCAUAUCACUGUUCACAGAUUCCAUUGUCUGUUACCCCAGCUCUAAAGAGUGCAUGGCACUUAAAUGCGACAUCUGCAGAAAUAAGAUCUCUUCUUUUGAGCCAGUUGGAGAUGAUGGAAAGUCACAGGUGACAUACUUUCAGUGGCAAAGGAGUGAUAAGAAUUAUGCAUAGGUUGAAGUGAGAAGUAAUGCUGAAGACACAUUUAGUGAGCUGUUUCCUGGGGAAAUUACUGAGUUUGGUGGCAUUGAUUCAACUGAGGUCAGAGCUGAUGUGAUGGAGAAAACUGGGAGGUUUUGGAAAUGGUCGUUCAAAAGAGAUAACAUUUUUUAAUUUUGUAAGGAUGUAGUGCAAAAGAUUAAACCACCCAUAGUAGCGGGAAAUAGGGGACAGUUUAAAUUUUCAAUUUUAUAGUUCUGUUGUUGUUUUGUUUUUUGAGAAGAUGUUUGAUGUUUGCAGAUGUUUUAAUUUACAAAAUGUACGUCUGACACUUGGAAAUGAACGUCCAGCACCAUAAUCUCUUAAUAAUUAGAAGAUACUGCAGCACAUUUCAAAAUUUUACUUUCUAUCUUAAAGCACUUUGAGGCUUAGCCUGUCAAGCUGAAACAAAGAUAUUUUGUUAAUACCUAUCACUUCACAAAAAUUUGUAUUCAAACUCAUAGUCACAAAAAUUUUCAGUUGUCUGAGUACGUCCAACACCAGUACACUUUUGUCCACUAACCUAAAAACCGAUGAUGAUGACAAAACAUAACAUAUGCAUUGUUGAUAGGGCACUUAGACUUCUUCCUUCUGGCAUGAAGCCCUAAAAAUAAUGUUGCCAUGAAACUGGCUAAACAUGUUUAAAGUGUGCAAAAUGUACGUCCAACACCAUGGAAUUGCCCAAUUACUUUAGACCCAUUUUGACCAAGUUCUGGAGACAGGUAUAAUUUCCCUAGAUUUCUCUUCUUGGAUAGGAAAUCAUUUUCAGGAAAAUUUUUGGGGCCAGUUAAAAGAUACUUUUUGGUGGACACCCCAAUGUAACACAGUCAAGUAACCACCAUCACCUUAAAGAAGAACAUGCAAUUAUAACUAUAAACAUAAUGUCAAAGAAGUAUACAUAUAACUAAAACUGUCUACCGAAUUAGUGGUGGCUUUAAGUUAAUAAUUCAGCACAAGUUUUUAUGAUAUCAUCAAUAAGAGUUCUUCUGGCAUGAAGCCCUAAAAAUAAUGUUGCCAUGAAACUGGCUAAACAUGUUUAAAGUGUGCAAAAUGUAUGUCUGACACCAUGGAAUUGCCCAAUUACUUUAGACCCAUUUUGACCAAGUUCUGGAGACAGGUAUAAUUUCCCUAGUCGGUGACUCAGACACAUCUCAUUCAGACUUUUUAUGAUAUCAUCAAUAAGAGAUUAAAGUGUUAUUGGUAGUGUGUUCUUGAGAAUUCUGAAUGUUUUCAGCGAUUGAUAGCUCUUUCUAGAUGAAUUCUAACUUUGGCAACUUUCUUAGUCUUCUUGCAUUCAGAUAUAGUCAUCUGCUAUUUCACCAGAGCACCAGGCGGCACAGUCAUUUCCCAAAAUGAUUCGCUAUGAUAACUUCAUUCUCAAUCUUUUCAAAAUUUUGGGAAAGAGAUCCAUCUCUAUCAAAAACUGGUGUUCCUUCCCGGUCUGACAUGCGAUCCGGUGACACAGACAUAUCUCAUUCAGAUGAUGGAGCGAUUUGCAAUAAUAAUGUAAGAGGUCUUCCUGUAUCGGGAACCCUCCAUCUGCCAUGACCUUAUCUUUUUUUUCUAGAAGAUUCUUAAAGCAACUCUCUUGGCAGAGGAACUGAUCUGAUGCUCGUCCUCCCCAAGCAUAAGACAAAAACAUAAUAAAUCCAGUAGGUGCUACUGCUACCAAAAUUUUGACAGUAUUAUGUUUUUGUAAUCUGACCAAGUCUUUGCUUGAAGAUCAAGAGAUUUUGGCCUCUCAAUAUAGAUCUCUGUACAGUCAAUAAUGCACCUAGUCUUUCUAUACUUGCCCUCAAAUUUUUCUGGUAGACAAUUUCUGACAGUAUAUUUUUGUAACCAAUGAACAAAUGGGUUUCCCAGCAGAAACUCUAUGCUGUUGCUGGGAGACUUUGCUGAAAACUAUAUGUUCGUGUAAAUUAAUUAAGUCUGAGUAUCCCCAUAUAGGGAAAAUUCAGUACUUUUCUGAGGGCUGCCCUGGCCAGUUUUUUUCUGAAGAUGAAUUACAGUAACCAUGAAAUUGGCUGCAAGCAAACUCCAGAGGACACAGAAUUUCCUGGUUAAUAGACGACUUUUGAUAGUGAGGUACGAUAUCAAAAACGAAAAUAUCUAUGUUCCAACAUUGUUUUGCCAAUAAUAAGCACUGUGAUUCGAACUACUAUUGGAAAUACAUCUGCUCUAAAUAAAUUUAAUUGUGAAAAUGAGUCACAAACAGCACUAUGAAAUAUCAGAAGGUGUUUCCAGGAAAAAGAAGAGGUCUCUUGGGCGUCAAUGUGCAGCAUACAGAUGCUAUAGCACUUUUUAUACUGAUGCAACUGCAAAUGGCCUACAUUUUUUGGAUUUCCACAGACAAAUCCUGAAAAACUUCGUUGGUGCAAUUUAAUCAAAAGAGUAGAUGGAAGAGAUAAUUUUAAAGUUACAAGCGCAACUGUUCUUUGUGAUAAACAUUUUGCUGAUGCAGAUAUCAAACUGGGACUGCUCCUUCCCGUAAUCUCUAUCAAAGCAGCACAAUAGCAAUAAAUCCUAAGUCACGCAAACCUCUGACAUGCCGUUCAAUCCAAUCGCCAAUUGCAUCUGCAGUUCCUGGACCAUCUUUCACCGUUGCUGAAUCUGCUGCUACUGAUUUUCUUCCAGAUUUUUUUUAAGAAGCACUCGAUGUUUCUGGCAAUUGUGUUACAAUAUUGAUGCGCACAGAUUUCUCUUUUGUAAAUUAAGCUGUUUAUCUUCCUUUUGACUCUUGCAAUGAAAUUAUGAAAGCCUUUAUUGAAUCUGAAUACUUCAAAUCAGAAGCUAAAAAAUUGAGCCAAAAGAUUUCUAUAUUGAAUGGUUAAGUGGUAUUCUAUGUUCAAUGGUUAAGUGGUUAAGUGGUAUAGCAGAAUUAAAGAAGUCUCUCUUUUCAAUUGAAAGAUUAAAGCUAAUGAAUCUGCAACAGAGUUUUACACUGUUUUCCUUAACUUCUCAUCUUUACUGGCAACUUUUGAAUAUUUUAAACCAAAAUUGUCUUUGGUGUGGUAAACAAUCAUCUUGCAAUACUGAUCUUGAAUACCAUGAAAAGUCUUCCUUAAAGCCUGGCAGAAAGCGCACACUUUCUCAUCUAGAAGAGUUUGUAUUGGUGUUGAUGAGACUGAAAGUUGGCUUGUUUGUUUCUGAUUUGUCUGAUCACUUUCGAACCUCUCCUGGUCAAGUUUCAAAGAUCUUUACAAUCUGGAUUUGCUUUUUGUAUCAUGAACUCCAAACUUUAUUUCCGUUUCCAUCUCAAGACCUUGUUCAUAAAAAUAUGCCAUCUCAGUUCAAAGAUUUCACCACAGCUAGAAUCAUCAUUGAUUGUACAGAAGUUUUUAAUAGAGGUUCCAUCGUCAAUAAAAUCACAGUCACAAACAUGGUCACAUUACCAACACCAUAACACGUGGAAGGCUUUUAAAAAUUAUGGAUUGGCCGAGUUUCUGACAAAGAAAUUAGACUCAAGUCAAGUGUGUUAUCACUUUUAGAGGAUGGUGACAACAUCAUGGCAGAUUGUGGGUUUGAUUUAAAAGAUAUCCUUCCUUCUGGUGUUACUUUGAACAUUCCUCCUUUUAAAGGCACAAGAGCACAGCUUUCAGCAGAGGAAACUGAAGAAACAGCCCGAAUUGCUUCAGUGGGCAUACAUGUAGAAAGAGUCAUAGGAAGAGUUGAAAAUUAUCACACCCUUGAUGGUCUUUUACCUCUUUCAUUAUACGCUGUUGCUGAUCAAGUAUUCUGCCACCUCACAAACUUUUUACCUUUUGCAGUAUAUCCAAAUGAUAACUAGGUAUAGCAAAAAAACAAGUAGUAGGUAAAAUAUAUCAUCAUCACCAUUUACGUAUAACGUUUAAUAAUAUAUAUACACUAUAUCACCAGUAGCAUUUUUUGCAACAAAUAAUUAUAUAUAAAAUAUAUAUAUGUGUAUUUUAAUAUAACUAUAUAUAUAUUUGAAGCAGCAAGCUGGAGUUCAAUUCCGACCAAGAGUGGUUCGAUACAAUUGGGCAGCACCCUUGUAGAAAUAUUCUCCACUUUGUCAGCCUUUGCCUUAUGAUUACAUUUCAAUGGUUAAAAUGGCUGUGACGAAUGCCUAAACCCGCAGCAGAAUAAACAAAAAACUACUUUGGCUAUGGUGAAAUCUCCAGUGAUGGCUUUGGAGACUCCUCGCUUAUUUCAUUGGGCUGUUUGGCUCAGUGGAAUGAGCGUGGGUUUUAGAAGCAGCAAACUGGAGUUUGAUUCUUGUCCCAGGAAUAGGAUAUGUGUUAUAAAAUCUUUUUGCUUAAAUUUUCCUACUUUUUUCUAAAUCAGCCUUGCAGCGGGGAAUAAAUUUAUUUCUGAAAUGUUUGACUCGUAGAACACAAGCAUAGCUUCAAAUGUCAAAAUCUGGUCAGAAACUGGUCUUUGCAAACUUGCCUUUGCAACCAAUUGUUUGACAGUGCCACCUAUCCCAUCACAAGGCUGCCCCCCAUGGCUUGUAGCAAAGAAGUCCCAGACUGCAUCAAAACUAAAGUCAUUCUUAUGGUAGCAGAGAUUAAUAAAGUUUUUGCGACUUUUAUAUUUCUUUGCGCAACCAUCAGAGAAAUACUCUAUUGUUUUAACUUGAGGACAAACUAACUUCAAGUAAUCCAACACAAGCUUUAUGACCAAAUUAACAAAUGAGACAACAUGCAUUAGGUCAUCUGAGAAAACACAAUGAGACCUAUGCUUAAGAAUUUCGCCUUCUUUGAAAUAAACAACAACUGGGUGAAGAGAGCAUCGCUAGUUACUCCAAUAGUAACUUUGGAACUCAUCUUGGAUCAGAAAGGUAAAGUUUUCAGCAAAUUCUCCAAGAAAAAAUGCUGUUUCUUUUGUAAUGUUUUUUUUUCGUAGUUUCAAAUAUCUAGCCUGGGCUUUUGCAAUAAAAGAAUGUGUUGUCAGCUUUUCUAGCUGGGAAACUACCGGGUCUAGAUAGUCUACAACUGACUCUUGACAGUUGAUCAGAUCUGACCGAUCAGUAGUUGCCCAUUGCUGAAAUUCAAUUUUGUCGCUGAAUUGAUGCUCAAAAGCCAACUUGAAAAGAUUUUCUUUUAAGGGAUCAUUAGAUGUUUGGCCAUUUGAAGCAUCACAACAAUUCACCAUGCACUACCUGCUUUCAGGACUGCAUACAACAAAACACUGUGUAUCUUUAUAGCUGGUAUUAUUAGGAGCAAGAAGGAGUUCGAUAUUUUGGUGAAUAGAGCACACACAAACAAGUGUGUUCCAGAACCACCUGCUAAAACACACCAUUCUAGUCUUAAGAAGAAAAUUUUGAAAAGCCGAUCUUAAUGUCUGGAAACUUGACUUUCCUAUUACAAAGAGUGAGCAUUUUUUGUCUGUGGUCAUUUGGUGCAAUAUUAACAUAAUCUUUCUUGCCUGGCAUUUUUCUGGUGAAUUCUUCAUCAAGAAUUGAUACACAAGCUCAAGAGUUGUUUUGGGCAAGAUAUGUCUAUUUUAGGAUCUGGUAAAGACAGGAUUCUUUUCUCCAUGGCUAGCUUGUGUGCGGUACGAACCAUGUAUUGUGAGACACCAAAGAAAUCUGAUGCCAUUUUAUUGGACCAAUUUGAUGACAGCAAUGGAAGAAUCUGUAAUUGUUUGCUUUUGCAAUCCAACGAUUUUACCUUUCUUGCAAGAUUAUCCAUAAUUUCAUCAAACGAUGCCACAUUUUCUCUUUAUUUCCUCACUACUUGACUCAGACGAAUCUUGUUGAGAUCUAAGUUCCGUAACAGGUCACACACCAUGUCAAGAGAUCUUACAACUUUUUUUGUCAAUAUUGACACCUAAGUUUCAAGCUUGCGCUUCCCUUGCUUUGUUUUCACUGCUGUUGAAACUCCAUGGUGUGUGAUUGGUGAUACUCCUACAGAACUAAAGAAAUGGGAAACAUCUGAACGAUCUUCCUCCAAAUCCUAAGAUUUUGGAAUGGCAGACAACUCUUCAUCCUCUGAAACAUCUCCUUGAUCAUUUGGCCAAUCUUCAUAAUUUCCCUCUUUAUUUUAACUUGUAGCCUUUGUCUACAUGAUGGGCACAACUUUUUACCGGGGAUUAAUUUUUUUCUGAUUUUUUUAAGCAUUUUUGCACACAUCAUUUGUUAUCACUCUCAAUGAUCCUGAAAAUUAAAGGAUAUGGUACUGACAAAUAUAAUUCCUUGACUUUUGUAGAAUGACUCACAUCAAUAUCAUAUUUUAUCAAGUACAUAAGUAUCCAAAAAGCUUUUCCAAGGAUUUCUUAGAGUAUGUUAUUAUAAUUAUAGUGUGCAAAAAGUCUUUCAGUAAAAAGCCACCUUAAUGCACAUUAAACUAGAAACAUACCAACCUUUCCUAUGUGGACCAUGAAUCGCAAAUAGGUUGGUAUUCUUAAUAUUUAAUAAGAAAGGAUUUCUGACGGUGUUGACAAACAGUUUCAAUCACAUUCUCAAUUCCAGAUCGUAAGGCAAGCAAAUUUCUUUCACCACUGUUCAUUUCAUCUACUUUAAUCAGUAGAGCAGUUGCACAGUACGUUUUUUGUGACAUUCUUCUCCAAGAAUAUUUCCAACAGAUCAAGAAUCCAUUUUUCACAGUGCGGGUAAAGUCCUGGGAAAUAAAAAGGAGAAGAAAUUUUUUUAGUUACGUUUUGCAACAUUUUAAAUUUUUUGUCCAUAACAAGCAAGGUUUUCAACAUCAAUGUUGAAAAGUAAUUGCUAUUUUUGUUUCGCCUUUCUUCAAAAUUUUUUUAGGUUGCCAAAAUCAGCUUUCUGCUAGAAUUUUUUUUAACAGUAGUUGUCCAUUGGCAAUUACAGUUUCUUUCCCCAAUUAAAGACAUCAUAAAAUCUGGUUGUUCUACUGUGUAAAUAAUUUUCAUUGUGUUUUUGUGUACUAGAUCAUUCAACACCAAGGUCUCCACCCAAGAGGGCAAUAUUACAAUUGCAGUUUCUUUCCCCAAUUGAAGACAGCAUAAAAUCUGGUUGUACUAAUGUGGAAAUGAUUUUCAUUGUGUUUUUGUGUACUAGAUCAUUCAACACCAAGGUCUCCACCCAAGAGGGCAAGAUUACAAUUGCAGUUUCUUUCCCCAAUUGAAGAAAGCAAACAGUCUGAUUCUUCUAAUGUGGAAAAAGGUGUUGAUGAGUCAGGAGCAGUUGGUGUGAGCACAUUGAAUGAAAGCUUGCACAAUCUAAAGCUAACUUCAUUUAACAAAAAUUACAACAUAUGAAAGGUGGAGAUCCAUUUGAAAGAUGCUUUUCAAGUAGCUCUCUUGCGAGUGAAACAAAUUCUGACAGUGAAAGCUCAUACAGGUAUACAUUGACUUCUUGUCAGUCUUUCGUCACAGUCCUUUUCUUUCAUGUCAAACAUCAAAUUUUGGUGUCAUUAAUUCAUAAUUUAUGAAACAAAAAUUUUGGAUGUAUUUUGCAAACUCAGUUAAUAAUAAAUUCAGUGUUUUUUUACCUUGCAGUUCUUUAAUCCCUUUGAUAAUUGAGCUGGAUGCAUCUGUUAAAAUUUCUGUAAUAUCUAUUUCGUGCAUCAAACAUAACAAAAGUCGUGUUAGGCCCUCUCUUUCCAUAUUUGGUGAAUGACCCCCAGUUUCUCUUCUAUCCAGGACUUCUAAAUCCACAAGGACACCAGUAACAUGUUCAAUGAUCACAUACACACAGUACCUGGCACUAAAUCCUGGAGAAUCAUUUCUCCCAUCACCUAGCAAACAAAUGUCUUCAUAUGGGUUCAAAACAUCCAGAACCUUUUUUUUCAUCCCUUUCCAAGCAUCCAAAAUUACAGGUGCAUAAAACAACCGCUGACAAUGAGUGAAUGUGCUCUGACUUGGGACAGCAAGGUUUAAAAAUUUGCAUAGCAACAAGAACUUUUGGUAGUUGUUACCUGACAACAAAACACAAGCCCCAAUCAACAAAUCAUUCGCAUACACAACAGCAUUUUGUGAAGUUGUUACUACAACACAGUUAAGAUGUUUGGUAUAAAAUUAAAAGUCUCAGCAAAAUGCUCCACAAAGCUGCAAAAGAUAAGGAAGCAGCAGCACUAAAGCCGUGGAUACCCAGCAUCAUCAACCACUUCUGGUAUUCCUUUCAAAUUGCAAAUGGAGACACAGAAAAGUUGAAGGAUUGCUGGUUUGGUGUGGUCCAUCAUGUUUGUGGGGGAACACACAUGGUCAGGUUCAGCCUGUCUUCAUGGUCCAAGUACCAGUUCAGAGCCCAAGCAGGUGCUUGAGAAGAAAUCAAAGCCAGCUGAAACCUUGCGUGCUGUUGUCUUUGACAGGAAUUCCUUACAAACUUGGAAAUGUACACAAGUUUUAGGCACACUGGGUCAAUUGAAACUUUUAAUAGCAUGCUUACAAAAUACGCACCAAAAAGGAUUGCUUUUGAAUAUAUAUAUUUUUGUUUCCCGCAUGGCUUUAGUUGCAAUAGACCAUAAUAUGCAUCUCCACAGGACAUUUGCAAAGACCAAGGAUGGAAAGGAAAUUUUUAAGGUGAAAUACAGCAUAAGGACAAAGUCGCACCAUGCAGAACCUGUGAAGGUUGAUAAAGAUUAUGCAUACAUUCCGCACUUACUGUCAAAAAUUUUGCAAUGUCGCAAGGAAAGCACUGCUUCUGUACUGACCAGAAACAUUCGUAGUGAGAGAGAUCCUAACAAUAUAGCCCCAUUGAUAGAUCCUGGGUAUGAUUUUCUUAUCAUUGUCACUACACAUAAGGGCAAUAUCCUUCUGUUCAAACGACCAAGUUUCCCAUCUUUCCACAGUGCAAAUUGCUGAUAGGCAGCUUUUCUCGACGAAUUUAUAGUGAAUUCGAUUGGUUCAGCUCUCAGAUCACACCUUGCUAAAAUUUGAAGACAUCCCUGUCAAUGCAGAUUUUACGAAAGAUCUGGUAGGAUGUGACACAUAUUACCCUAUCGCAACAUUUGUUUUCAUCAGGGUCAGGCAUUACAAUGCAAACACCACAUUUGCACCAGGGUUCACCAUUCACAUGUGCAAUUGGCCUUUUUGUGGGUGUGAAAUUGAGUGCACAAGGUCUUCAAUAAAACUGGCACUUCCUUCUCCAAUAGCACCCAUCUCUACAACAAGUUGCUGUAGAACUUCACGAGAGAAAUCUUCUACAGCUUCCUAUAAAAUAAAAAAACAAUUUUAGCUUUUCUUUUGGUUUACUGACUCCGCUUUUCGAUUUGUCUACCACAGGGAUUCAAACAAGUAUAAUAGACCUGUUUACUGAUACAGACGCCAUUUUGAGGCGUGAUGCAUUCUGGGAUGGCUAGAGGGGGCAAACAAACUGUUGUCAAGGACCGAAAUCUCAGUGAUCGGUGUUAACUUCGCUAACUACUUACUUCGUUACCCAGUCUAGAUUCUGAAAAUGGUACUAACAAUGGAAGAACUGAGCAAAUGGAAAGUCGAGACAUUGAGGAGUUAUUGGAAGGAAAGAGGUGUGUCUUUGAGUGGAAGCAAUCGCAAAGCCGACUUGAUAGAAAAAGUCGUAUACGCCGAAAAGUUAGGCCUGCCUGUUUUACCAACACAAAGUGAAGUUCAGAGAUUUCCGCAAACAGACGAAGUUUAUUAUUAGUUUAUGGUGUGCAAAUUCCUUCACCUGAAAGCUUCAAAGACCAUUGGUUCGAAGGGAGUGAAUAUUUUCCCGAUCUUACUUUGGACAUCGUCCAGUCCUUCGGGAAAUUAUCUGAAUCGAUGAAGGCUUUCAAAGAAGGAAAGAAUCUUCAAAACUCCGGUCAUUUGAAAUCGGUACUUUUUCAUCAGAUAUCAGACACAGUGAAGCUUUGUUUUAUAAAGGCAUCUGUUGUGCCACAAACUCACAUCUCUGAAAGACCAUACACUGUUUGGGUUUGUUUACGAAAUGACACUUCCCUCAUUCUGACCGCUGAAUGUAACUGCCUUGCUGGUGCGAGUAGCUCUUGCAAACAUGUAUUUGCCCUGCUUCACUUAAUUGAAAGUGAAGUCUAUCUGGGAAGAAAUAAGUCUUGUACUGGCAAAAAGCAACAAUGGGAUGUGCGCAUUUCAAAAAAAGCAGAAAAGAUACAUUUGCCAUGUGAAAAUUCAUCUCUUCUCAUUGAACACUCUUCUCGUGUAAGCGAAUCUUCCAGCCAUGCAACAGCAAGGAAAGAAUACGAGCCACGUUCCAGAGCUGAUUUGUCUGUCAUUUUUGGUGAUGCUGACUGGGAAGAUGUGGCUGAAGCUACUGAUGGAACAGCUAGUGUUCUUCAGUUUAAAAAAACGAGAGGGAACAAAAGUAUGGCUUCUUCUUUUUCCCUUUCCUCGUCUUUGAGGUCAUCCUCUUCCACAUCUUAUCCUCCUCCUUCAAUUCCAGAAAUUGCUUCCAAAUGUGAAGAUGCUGAAUCUUUCAUUUCUACACUGCAUCUUUGUAGAUCCCCUCUUCAUUUAGAGAAAAUUUCUAAUAUGACUAUCGAGCAAUCUUCUUCUGAAGACUGGAAAAAUUAUCCCCUUGGCCUUAUCACUGCAUCUGUUGACCAUGAAGCAUUAAAGAAAGUUGACAAUGAAUUGCAAAUAUCAAAUCUGGCAUCAGCAAAUAAUCUUUGUGCCAAGAUUUGUGGAUAUUAUCCUGAUUUUAGGAGCAAGUCUCUGAGCUGGGGCAAAAACAAUGAAGUUGUUGCUCGCAAAAGAUACAUUAAGAAGAACAAAGGAAAGCACAAAAGUUUCUCUUGCACCACAUUUGGUUUAUACAUCUCUGCAGCAUAUCCUUUUCUUGGUGCAACACCAGAUAAUAUCCUGAGCUGUCAAUGUUGCGGUUUGGGGGUUUUGGAAAUCAAGUGUCCAUGGAGCAGCCGUGACCUUGACAUUUCUGAAUAUAUCAAUAAACCUGAUUCGUACUUAAUCAAAGAUGAUGGAUCAAUUUUAUUGAAGCCAAAGCACCAGUACUGGUAUCAAGUACAGCACCCGAUGUUUACAACUGGAGCCAACUACUGUGACUUUGAACUCUUUUUGCCGAAACAAUCAAUAACAUUAAGAAUCUUAAAAGAUCCUGCCUAUGUAGUGGACUGUGUGCCAAAGCUUACUAGAUUUUUUAACUUAAUUAUCUUACCUGAAUUGUUUUCUUUUGAAAUAAAACUAGAGACAGAAUGCAAGCUACUUUUGAAAGACAUUGUAAAACGUGUAUCAGAUGGUAUUUAAUGAGAAGAUAAGUAAGAUAGAUAUACACAUAACUUUUGUAUAUGUAGUAUUGUUUUGCCUGCAUAUAUUUGUCUUUUUACACAAUAUUUACACAAUAUUUAUGUGUCACAAAGUACUAGAUGAGAGGCCUGUAAAAACAGUUCUUUACUUUAUCCAUGACUUUUUUAGUAUAUUUUUAUUUAUGUUAAUGAGAUAGGUCUCUGAACUUGAAGAUAUGCAACAAAUAUUCCCCUUUAUACUUUUACUAAACAUACAUAACAUUUUUUGUUUUGAAGGUAAUUUUGUACAAUAGAUUAAAUGUGCAAUUGGAAAUAGUAAAGAGUAGCUAUAGAAAAUAUGUUGUAUCAUUACUUGUGGGACUGUGAAAUGUAUUUCUAAAGGGGGCUGAAGAUUUGUUAUGGCUGCUGCGAUUGUCCAGAUAUCAUUGAUAAGGUCUAAUAAACUUAAGGGUAGAGUAUGAUCAAGCAGUCUAAAUUCUUUCAACCGUCCCAUUACACGCUCUAUAUGUAUUCUUGCACGGGCAAUCCUUUUGGCAUCAGCUAUUUCACUGGGGGUAAACUGUUUUUUAUCCCUGACAAAUGGUGGUAUCUUUACAAGUACUUGCUUUGGAAGGAAUAUGUCUUGAACUGUAAAGCCUUUAUCAAAGAGAGCAAUAAAUCCCGGUGUAAAUUUAUUUACAACAUUGCAAUCUUCUGUAAUGAACCGAUCAGAAGCAGAACCAGAAUAAGAUUUUGAAAUGAAACUAAUAGAUCCACCUUUAGUGCAAAAAAUUAACUUUUUGUGGGUGUUACGACUUUUGUAGGUGCUGUAGGUUUGAUGUUGUGCUUUUGAGUUAAAUGGCUUCUGGAUAAAUUGUUCUGUGCAAUCCCCAAUUCCUUCAACUUUAACAAAAUCGUGCUUAAAAUGAGGGUGCUGGGAGCUUUUUCUUCCACAAUAGCCUCUGAUUAUCUGCAUCGCAAGAGAUUGGCGAAAUUUCAGACCGCUCCUUUGCAGACUCGUUUCUUGAGCCUGGGAUUGGUUUCACAAAACCAUUGCAUUUCCAAUUGAAACAUCAAAAAGAACCAAAAUACAUACUUGUACCUUUGAUUGUCUUUUCUUCCAAGUGGAUAAUACGAUCAAAGCUGGUCUGACAGAUUGACACUGAUCAUAUAGGCAUUGUACAGGCAAACGAUGGCUGACUUCUUAACUUCCUCUUGGACGCCUUUCUUUCAUCUGGGAAUAAUCUUUCUAGGAGGUUCAAGGGGAGAAGAAUUCUUAUAGAGGACAUCAACUUCCCUUUUAUCUUUUUACGUUGUGAACAUUAAGUUUGAUUCCCCUUUCUGAUUGACAAUUAUGUCCCACUUCUGCAUUAUCUUUCCAUCAACUUUUGGUAGGCCCUUCCUGUUUCUUCUUACCCUGCCACAAGUGUAAGUUUGUUUAUCUGAUAACAAAUCCUCCAUUUAUCUGAUAACAAAUCCUCCAUCAGCUCAGGACAUGAGAAAAAAUUGUCAAAGCAGGCAUGGUGACUUUUGCGAUGAUAAGGUUCGGUCAUAUUCAUAACAACAUAGUAUCCCAAUCCCUUCCCCUCAUACAAAUCUUGGCCUUCUUAUUCUUUACAAAGGUAAACUUAAUGGUUUUGAACAUAGCCAUUUUGUGGAGCUGCACAAAGCCAAACUUUCAUCCCAUACUUGUUUGGCUUCUUGGGCAUGUACUGCUUGAAAAAAAUUCUUCCUUUGUAGGCAAUCAUUCCUUCAUCGAUUGACAAAUUUUUUCCCAGUUUAUAUGCCUUUUGAAGUUCUCCUGUGUAUGCUCAAAAAUAUGACGAACUUUGAAAAGGCCAUCAUAUCCUUGCUCUCCGCAUUUCGUCCUCUGCAGAGACAAGAAAUUCUUCUUUGUCACUAAUUUCCCCAAAAAUAUCUGCCUUUUCCCGUUCAGUUAUGAAGGAUGGUUUUUGUUAUGAAGGAUGGUUUCGUUAUAAAGAAUCUGUCAUCUGCCGAAAAUGCACAUUUGGAAAACUCUCCAUCACGGAGGUAAGUGCCAAGAAAAUGGGCCUAGAAUCCUUCUUUGUCUUUGAAUGUGACUGAGAUGUGAAAUGAAUCUCUCACCUUAUUGUAAAGACUCUUGCUAGUGCACUGAGAUGUAAAAUGAAUUCCUCACCUCAUUGUAAAGAAUCUUACCAUAACUUUUGAGGUCAAUAGCAGAUCAGUGCUAGGGAUGCUUGAGGUUGGGGCUGGCAAAGGAGGAUUGAAAAAGUUUUGUGCAUUUUUGAAUAUGCCAAAUGCUAUGACUGACGAAGCAUAUAAAACAAUUUGCAAGAAGUGAAAGAUGCAUUGGAGCAUGAAGCCAAUGAAAAUAUGAACAAGGGCUCCAGUGGAAGAACACUAAAAAAAGGCUUAGAAUUAACUGAGGUCACUGAGUGCAAAGCAAUGUUUGACGGAAAAUGAAAAAAAAGAGUACACUUCUCUGCAAGGAGAUUUAACUUGUAUAUCUGCAUCUAUAGGCAAAUUCCUUGAAUAUGAGACUCUCAACAACGCCUGCAUAUUGUUUGAGGUGGGCCAAAAACCUAUUUCUGCAGAAAAAAAGAUGGCAGGCCAACCAUGUUUGCCCUAUCAAUUUUGCAGGGUCUGCACCAGCUAUGGAGCCAGAAGGAGUGAAAAGGAUUUUUCUGCAAUCUGACGAAUCCAGGCACCUGCAAUAUACUGACUACAUUGGUGAUGGGGGCUCUAAGGUAUUUUCCCAAGUAAAAUCGCUAAAAUACCAUACGGAGACAAAAACAUUACAAAAACUAAAUGUGUAGGCCAUGCUCAAAAGAGAACUGCUCUACACAAUAAAAUUUGUAAAGAGCAAGCAAGAGUUAAGCGAUGGGAAAACAAUUGUUGGAGCUGCCAGACUAACUGGGGCCCUUAUCAACAAGCUUCAAAUUUAUUAUGGGCUUGCUAUAUGCCGAAACAAGGACAAUUUGAAAAACAUGCAUGACAAAGUAUGGGCGUGCCUUUUCCAAUUGGCUUCAACCGAUGAGCAUCCCAAGCAUCAGUUUUGCCCGGAAGGCCCAGAUACUUCGUGCAAAUUUUACUAAGACCAGAAAAAUGGUUUUCACAACAGUCAUAAGAAAGAAAUUGCAGAUGCAGUUGCCCAAGAGCUCACCCCCAUUUUUAAGAGACUCUUCAGAAGAAAUGCUCAAAGGCUGUCUUCCUGGCUAUACACAGAACAACUGCGAAGCACUCAAUCAUUUAAUUUGGUCAAGAUGCCCCAAGAGUGUUUUUUCUGCGAGAGAACACUUGGAUUAUGCCAUUGCAGGGUCAGUAAUAGUGUUUAAUGAUGGAUGGAGUGCUAAGACAAAUGUCCUGCUUCAUCUUGGAUUAGAGCCAGAAAGUAAUACAAUGACUUUCUUCUCGAAAAUUGAUAGAAAGCACAAGCGUGAUAGUGCUGCCAAUGCAAUGAUAACUUCAAAAAAAUUAGGCAAUCAAAAAGGAACGCAAAGAAGGGGAAGGAUGGCUAAGAAAAGGAAGGAAGAUUUAACUGUAGAAGAAGGAGUUGCCUAUGAGGCUGGUGGCUUCUAAAAAGACUUUAAUAGAUAUUUAGUCAUGUUUUGUAUUAUGUUUAUUUCUAAAUUGAUUUUUUUUCCCAACUUGCAAAUUUGCUUGCAUUGGUACUUUUGUGAAACCUCUGUAGAUGGCAUGUUUAAAGAUAUCUGGAAGAACAGCUGGUAACUGGCGUUUGUCUGAGUAAUUUGGUUCAUCUUUACGAAUUUUUGUGUUGCUGUAACUUUUGUGACCUAGGAAAGAACCCUGCAGAACUUCAGCUUCGAUAGCAUCCCAUUGAGAUGUUUUACCAUUCAAAACAGUACGCUGUUUUCUUCACCGCUAUGCACCAUUGACAAGAAGGAUUGUUGGCUUCUUUAGGUGGGACAUAAACUUGUUGGGUAGGUGUAUGAUCGAAGCUAAUUAGUGUGGGCAUAGGUUGCUCAUGUAUACCUAUUUCAACUGUGAAAAAAAAUCUGAAAUCUUUUUCUCAGCAACAACUCUGUUCCUUGGGCUUAAAGCCUAGCGCACACAGCAGAUAUUUGUCGCAAAAGACGAAGAUUUUUGUCUUUUUCAUAAAAACUGAUUGCCCGCACACAGCACGAUUUUUUUCGGAUUAGUGCCUCGAUUAAGUUUUGUGACCUCUUUUUCACAUUGUUUGAACUUCUUGGCGCGUAAAAUAAAAUUCCAAACACGAAUAAAAUUGCUCAAGAAACUGACAAAGGUUAUGAAUUUGACAAAAAAGAAAGCACUGUUGGCUAUUAUCCUUUUAAUAAGACGAAGAAGGAGGCGAAUUGCGAGACGAAUGUGGGUGAAAUCCUGGAUUGAGCGUAGAAAUGAGCUGGGAGCAUAUCAGAAUCUUGUUCAGGAGUUAGCAUCGGAGGAUAAACCUAUGUACCAACGCUAUUUUCGUCUCAACGAAGACCUUUUCAAAUCUCUUCUUGCCAAAGUAAGACCAAUGAUUCAAAGAAAAGACACUCACAUGCGAAAAUCAAUUAGUGCAGCAGAAAGACUUGCAGUCACACUACGAUACUUAGCAACAGGAGAGUCAUUUCACAGCCUGGGAUUUUCAUAUAGACUUGGAGAAAGAACAAUUUCAUCAAUAGUGACAGAAACUUGUGAUGCAAUUUAUCAGAAUCUUAAGGAUAGAUAUCUUAAGGUACAUAACAUUUUUUGUUUUCUACUUUUUGGUUUUCAAUACAAUAUUUAAUGUGCUAAUUAAAACCAACUCACAUAACAUUGAAGAGUGCAGUGAAAGCAAUAUACUGUAUGAAUUUUAAAGAUUAGAAUUGUCCGUACGAUGGCCCUUCACUCAUAUCUUGCUGGUCAAGUGACUGCCUGAAAGACUGCAUUCUAGCAUGUUGACCAGCAUGAUAUGGG
This is a non-coding RNA of Rhopilema esculentum, 34595 nucleotides long. NCBI's taxonomy places the organism in Eukaryota, Metazoa, Cnidaria, Scyphozoa, Rhizostomeae, Rhizostomatidae. The record is from RefSeq and is a predicted model, not a curated record.